UAGCCUUGGUAUUGUGACACUAAAUGGGGAAGUAACACAACGUGUAAUGAGUUUAUAACACAAUGUUAGUGCCACACAUGCCUUUAGUGUACAUUAGGGAACCAACAUAGCUGUUUGUACAACAAACCAUACAGCUCCAAAAAUGAAUGAGUAGUCUUCCAGAACUACAGCAAACCCUCCACCUUAAGAUUUCGUAACAUGUUGCAUCCUGUCGAUGUUGUUAUCAACAAAAGAUUCUUUACACUUCACAUUAAUUCCACACCUUUGACGAGGCAUUAAGGUUGAAAAGCCAAGAUUUAGUGAUUGCAAUCAUAUGUUUACCAAGGUUUUAGGUCACCAACUGGACCAGCAGUCCAGUUUAAGAUCUUCUGCCCAGGAGUCAAGAAAACGGUUCUGUCAUG
This 401-nucleotide unclassified non-coding RNA is filed under the name Hevea brasiliensis (rubber tree). The record is from RNAcentral. Lineage: Eukaryota; Viridiplantae; Streptophyta; Magnoliopsida; Malpighiales; Euphorbiaceae.